AAAUCAGAUCCCCGGGACGCCCAGCAGUUUCCUAAGAAAAAAAGGGUUUUCUUGAAGGCAUAUCCCCACAUGGGCAGCGCUUGCCGGCGUUCACGUCUGGUGCUGGUCAUUUCCCGUCGCCGCCGCUGCACCAACAGAGGUUAACAGGGGCAGUGAGAAGGGGGAAACCUUGCUGCCCGAUACGAUGUCCACACCGUCUUUUGCGUGUUGGAGGGAUUGAACCAUGGCAAUCAGAGCUGACCUUGCAUCGCCUUCCUCAUACACACUGGUCAGGAGAUCCUUCAGUAUGCUGAUGAACGGAGUUGCACCGAUUCCAAGCCCAAUAAGAAAAAGAAUGUCAUAUUUCUUGUAAUUUUGAGCAGGUGCACCGAAAGGGCCAUCUAUGAAGAUCUUGGGAAACCUAGAUGAACAAAGCCAAGUCACCAAGGUGCAGAAGUGAUGGAGAAGGGAUGCCUGCAAAAAUUGAAGAAAUUCUGAAGCCAAAGCCUUUGAAAAUUCAUGAGCUGGAAAAUGAAGAUGAUGAGAAAGUACCAUUCAAAAGGCGACACAUCUGGGCAUUUUACAAAGAGGUACAUCCCACUUUUGUAUUUGAAACUUGCUGGCUUCUUCAUGUAAAGAGAGAGCACAUUUCCUGGGUAUAUUGCUGCCUGCAGGACACAUUUUGGAUCAUUAAUGAGCAGUUCUCCUGUGGCACUUGCAAUCUAGAA
Molecule: long non-coding RNA, 707 nt
Organism: Lolium perenne
Lineage: Eukaryota; Viridiplantae; Streptophyta; Magnoliopsida; Poales; Poaceae
Source: RefSeq, a predicted model, not a curated record